CAGGACUCCAUUAACCAAAGUCUUUGAGACCUACAUAUGGAAGCGGGUGCCCUUUUAGAUCCAGAAGGGGACAAGAGAGCUGCCUUCUGCUCCACAAGGCUCCCACCCAAGGCUACAAUUAUUAAUAAAAGACAGCAAAAAAUAUAUACUAAAGAAAAAGACAAAUUAACGUGGGAGAAAUGAUAUUUACACAGACGCGAACUAGGUUUACUUCUCCAGGUGUGGUUGUCCCGUUUGGUUAAUAUACCUGUGGUCUCGUUACUGUGUCCAGGUGUGGUUGUCCCGUUUGGUUAAUAUACCUGUGGUCUCGUUACUGUGUCCAGGUGCGUGCCUGCUUCUUAACCUACACAGAACGUUGUGUGGUUGCUAUACUGGUCAGAUGGGUGGAUUGGAGGUUUAACACAUAUUGGUCUUUUAAUCCCUCAACAAGCGUUAGGAAGACUGGCGGCGCCGGACUACUUGGCUCAUGGGUUGAUUGACUGACAAAACUACCAGAGGAACGAGGCAACUCGUGUCGCGGUCUGAAACGGCAUCUUAAUUUCCAGAUAAUUGCAAUACAAAACUAGACCACUGUGAGGAAAAACCUGCCAUUUCAGAAGGAGGCCGUGUUCUCUGUGGCGUACGUUCUCCUGCGAUGGUUUCCGUGACGGAACAAUCCCAACUCUUCAAAUUAAUUUAGUAACUUUACCCCUGAACAGGUAGAGUUACUCUCUGAAGGAAGCCUUAUAGACCUGAGCCACAAAACAGAAACAUUCUAAACAGCAGGCUCAGGUAUGUCUGGGUGUGAAGAACAUACAAUCAACUGAUUAUAAAAUUCUGAGGAAGACAAAGCUCAGAUAAGAGGAAAGUAACAAGACACUUUGUCCCAAAUUGCACACUACUUCUGAACAGAGCUUUAGGUUUCCUUUAAGUAGGGCACUACUUGGGACAUAUUUGGGGGAUGAUGCGCAUAAUGCACACACAAACUGCUAUCAAAGUGAGGAGCGGAAGAUUUGUCCUAUUCCAGAAAACGACAUAACCCCUAACAGUAAGCUUAACCCAACCCUCACCGCAAUUAUCUAACUUUAAGCCUAACUCCAACUCCUAAACAUAACCCUACAACCUAAAGUCUAACAAUGAACAAAAUGAGGAAUGCAAAACUGAGACCGGUCCUCACUAGGAAUAGGAAUUUGAGUACACAUAACUACCCCUCAUAUUUUCUAAGGAAGUACUUAGGAAUCAUUCCAGGAAAAUGAGGGGGGUUUAGUCUUGAUGGAACAGGUUAUUGUGCUAUUGGGUUUCACCUAACUAUUAGCCAGAAUUUAAUAGACACUGCAUGACAAAACAAUUUUACUUGGUCAAUUGACUGUGAUGCACAAGGACAGAAGGGGGGAGGAAUUUGCCUUACCCGUCUCAGGGGAAACAGGUCAGAAUACCUGCACUAGGUGCAUAAAGACAAUGGAAUCCAAAACAGAUUUUUUUUACAUGAAUCUAACAACAUGGCUGCAUGACAGAAAUGUAUCUAGCACUCAAAAAACAUCAACACAGCGUAUUCAAACAAGAAAAUUACUUGACAUUUUGCAAGCCGGCGGUAAACAUUUCCGCCAAAAACCACACUGCUGUAAAAUUAAACAUUGCUUUUUCACAGAGAACGACCAAUCUACCGUCUUCCAUUUCUAUGCUUUCCUAUACAACCCAUGAGCCAAGCACUUCCUGGUAUACACCUGGCCUUUACCACCGAACCGUUUCCACAGCAACCCGGCCCAUUCAUUCCCCCCCCAAAACCCCACCUCCUCCCACAUCUCCCCUCCUCCAUCCAACAGGCGGGUGGCUCUGAAUUUCUAUCGUCCAAAGUCCAAAAGGGGUGCAGGAUUGGGACCUCUCCCCUUUUAUAGUGUAUUUUAAUGGUUUAAUUGUCCUCCAUCUGGCCUGUGGUGCCAUUGUCCCCUUUUCGUUGUUCUCCUCCUCCUCCUCCUCCUCCUCACUCCUGGGCUAUGCUCCGCAGCACAUACUUCACAGUAUAGGCAAAUGCUGCGAAUCCCACAAUAACAAACAAAUUGGCCAAGGCCCCGCCCAGCAGUCCGUGGUUCCGAUUGGCCUGCUGGAGGCCGGGGGCGGGGUUGCCGAGGCCUAUAGGGGCAUGGCCUCCGUUGAGUGCGGGAAUUCCGUAGUUGCCAUGGUGUGGAUCGCCGUCAGGGACCACGUCGGGUAGGGGGAGGGGCUGGGGCCGGGCACUCAAUUCCUCCUGGGCCUUCUGCUUCUGUUUGAUCUCCUGGAGAGGACAGAGGAAAGGUGGGAUGACAAAGAAGGAUGGAGGAAUUUUCACAAAGAACCACAGAUGGAAGAGGUUGGGGAAGAGAGGAGUGUGGAACGGCGGUGGCGAGAGAGAAGAGGAAGAUGGGAGAGAAAAAGAGAGAGGAAGAGAGAGGGAUGUUGUUCACUGAGCAGCUGCGGUGCCUUUAGAAAGUAUUCAGACUCUUUACUUCCUCCACAGUUUUUAUUACAAUUAUUACAAUUCCUGUGCUAAUUAAUGUAUAAUUGGGGGACUGUUGAGAACUGAGGGCAGGAUGAACGGUCCUCAAAAUGGGACAACGCAGAAGAGGCUUGGGGUAAGUGUGUCGGUCCCGAGUCGUCCCUAUUGAACGAGGCUCCCCAUCCAAUCUGAAAGAGCUUGACAGGACCUGCAGGAAGAAUCUGCCCAAACCCAGGUGUGCAAAGUCAGAGGUAGAGGCGUAUCUAGAAAGACUCAAAACUGGGCUCUCUGCACAAGGUGUUUCUCCAAAGUACUGAAUAAAGGGGCUGAAUACUUACACAGAUUAGAUUUUUUUUAGUAAACUGGCUCAAAUUUCUACAAAUGUGUUUCAGCGAUUUCAUUAUGGGAUAUUGUAGUCUACAUAGUGUACAUUAAUGGCAAUAUAAAUGUAUCAGUUCUGAACUUUUGGAGGAGGACGGAUUUAAACAAGAGACCAGGCAAGCCAAGUUCAGCCGGACUGCAAUAAAAAGUAUUGUCCUCUUGAGAUUCAAACCCGGGUCGCCCACGUGAAAGGCUGUCGCUAACCAGAGCUCUACGUUCAACGGGUGUCAGUAUAGCCUCUUGUCUCUAUCCUGAACAAAUCCUCUUUUGCCACUGGCUGUCGCUAAGUCACCAUUGAGCAUUGUGUUGAACUGACUAACGUUUCUUAUUAAGUUUACCGCCACCACAAAAAGCAUCUAUGAAAUGUUAGCUUUUGCCACAGGCCAUUUGAACAGCUUAUUAGCCUGUAAUAGGCUUACUAGUAUCUACUAACUUCCUAGGAAUAAUCAUAAGAAUUAAGCAAUUUCUAGCGAGACUGAAGAUGACCUUUUCAUGCCAGAAACAGUCGCAAUAUAACCAGGUUUCGGUUUUAGCCAGUGAAGUUUUUGUCAAUAAGGAAUCAUUCUAAAUGCGUACUUCGCUUCGCCUGCGAGGAGACACGAACUCGGGACCUACAGUUCACAGGUCCGCUUCUCUAACCACUACGCUAUUUAACAAAGGGUAGUCAGUCAGUCAGUCAGUCAGUCAGUCAGUCAGUAAGAGACAUUCGCUCUUCUUGGCCGGCUCCGCCUACGCGGUCCGGAAAAAACAACAGUCCAGCUGACCAUGUUGGCCGUGUGAUGUACAGAGGCAAGGCUGCUUCUACUAUUCCUCUUCUAUUUUUGUGACUUGUUAAGCUGGACUGACCCAUUCUGGGCUUUAGAAUUAAUCCAAUCAACCCUUACAUUCUACUCCUUCUCAAGCUCUUACAACUCCCAUUCCAACACUAUUUCUGUCAAAUAAAGCAUAAAUGGCUUCUCUAAAAAUAUAUUAUUAACAAUAUGCAAGGUCACUUCUGUGCGCCAGCUACACGCACGUUCUGGUGUAACGGCUGUUUGAUUUCACACAGUAUUCAUAUUUACUAUAGGAUUUCCACUCGCACUCACAUCAACAGCAUCGGGAAACAGCUCACAGAAGACCUUGUCCUUCAGGUUGAAUGCCAAGCUCUGCACUGACAGUUGACGUUUCUGGAGAAUAUACACAAAAUAAGAACUAUUAAUUAUUUUCCAUCGAACAGGCAGG
Long non-coding RNA from Esox lucius (northern pike), 4054 nucleotides. Lineage: Eukaryota; Metazoa; Chordata; Actinopteri; Esociformes; Esocidae. The record is from Ensembl.